UUUGCGGGCCGGGCCCCUCUGGCGCGGUGCAGGACAUGAUUUCUGCACCUCGUGAUGUCGGACCGCAUCG
Non-coding RNA from Novosphingobium sp. P6W, 70 nucleotides. The record is from Rfam. NCBI's taxonomy places the organism in Bacteria, Pseudomonadati, Pseudomonadota, Alphaproteobacteria, Sphingomonadales, Sphingomonadaceae.